This 1060-nucleotide long non-coding RNA is filed under the name Pongo abelii (Sumatran orangutan). Its description in RNAcentral is "lincRNA". The record is from RNAcentral. Lineage: Eukaryota; Metazoa; Chordata; Mammalia; Primates; Hominidae.
CCAGCUGUGUGUUAGGGCUAGGAUGGCUCCGGGAUUCGUGUGAGGCAAGUGACCGUGCGUGUAAAGGGAUACGUGAUCCCUUGCUCAGGCUGAAGAACUGACCCACUUACAACAGAAGAUGCAGGAAGGGAGAAGUGUCUGCUACCUUUUCACCCAGCAUGUGAAGAACACAGUCAAGUCUUUUGGGGCCUUCUCAGGAACACUGGCAUUGCCUACUACCAGAGACAGAGAUUCUGUGAGCAAAUGGUACAAGGAAGCCAGCUGACAGAGAUCCUUGUCAGAAAACUUGCCACAGUCACACUCUACUCCCAGUCAAAAGUGGAUUGUAUACAUCCUCUUUGAUAUGAUGGUCCCUUUGGUUUUGGUGCCUCUUCCAUGAGCUUCACAUCAGAACUAGCUAUGAAGCUGUGGUUUCAGGCUGCCUUGGUUUAAUCCCUUGUCUUGCCUACUCCACCAGGCUCAGGAGGGAGGUCCAGGAGGAAGAAAUGGAUGAAGUCCUGGAGGACUCACUAGAUUAACAGUAUUUGACUCAUUCCAGGUGCCAUGACUCCCACCAGCUUCCCAGCAGCAAUGCCUUCAUCUUUGAUGCACAGGAAUACCCCUUUGCUCUGGAUAUAGCCAAAGAUGAGAUCCAGAGCCAGUGGCAGCACCUGAAGUAAACCCUUUUCAUCAACAACGGCCUGCAAGAAAAGCUGGAACGUCAUCUCAGCAGCUUUGACAAAGAAAAUGGUAGGAGAGGCCCAAGCACAUCAUAGAUUCCAUUGCCCAGCUGUAUAAUGAAAACAGAGUUCUCAGAGAAUACCGGAGACUCCCCUGACUUGCCUGAAUCAAGUUUCCAGAGGUAACAACUAAUGUUGGAACUAUGAAAAGCUCUUCUCUACUUUUAACAAAUCUUAGUCACAAACAGUUCCCCAGUUGAUGACAAAAACUAAAACAACAGAACAGUUGAAAGUCCAAAUCUGAAAGCUCCAUCUCUGAGAAGCAAAUUUUACAGCCACUUCAGAUUUGUAUUCUAAAUGGAUAGUUUGAUUGUAGAAAUCACAUCCCUUCAGCCUGCAAA